This 63-nucleotide non-coding RNA is filed under the name unclassified sequences. The record is from Rfam.
CGCAGAGUGACGGACAGGGCUAACGCCCUCCCGGUAAUGCGGCUAGAGCGGUCACAAGCCCGC